This 253-nucleotide ribosomal RNA is filed under the name uncultured bacterium. Its description in RNAcentral is "partial 16S ribosomal RNA". It matches the Rfam family "Bacterial small subunit ribosomal RNA", at positions 524 to 776 of the family's 1533-position model. The record is from RNAcentral.
UACGUAGGGUGCAAGCGUUGUCCGGAAUUAUUGGGCGUAAAGAGCGCGUAGGCGGACCUGCAAGUCGGGGGUGAAAGCCCGAGGCUCAACCUCGGAACUGCCUUCGAUACUGCGGGUCUCGAGUCCGGGAGAGGUGAGUGGAAUUCCUAGUGUAGAGGUGAAAUUCGUAGAUAUUAGGAAGAACACCAGUGGCGAAGGCGGCUCACUGGCCCGGUACUGACGCUGAGGCGCGAAAGCGUGGGGAGCAAACAGG